GCUGGAAAAAGGUGCCGAGUCCAAACCACUCCCUUCUGUUUGGGAGCACGAUAUAGGGACCUCAGAAUCGAGGCUCGAGAUUGUUAUGGAUGAAGGAACUAUCGUUGCUUGAACCUUCAUUAGGCUUGGGCAUGAAACCCGAUCCCUCGACGGUAGUUGAACUUGCACCGAGGUAGCUUUAACCACCACUGUAGGUGGUGGGAUGUCCUCAGCAAGU
RNAcentral lists this long non-coding RNA (217 nucleotides) under Elaeis guineensis (African oil palm). RNAcentral's name for it is "long non-coding RNA (EGUI_LNC015900)". The record is from RNAcentral. Lineage: Eukaryota; Viridiplantae; Streptophyta; Magnoliopsida; Arecales; Arecaceae.